Molecule: long non-coding RNA, 385 nt
Organism: Manduca sexta (tobacco hornworm)
Lineage: Eukaryota; Metazoa; Arthropoda; Insecta; Lepidoptera; Sphingidae
Exons: 2
Source: RefSeq, a predicted model, not a curated record
AAAUUUGGAUAAACCAUUAUUUUAUUUAUUCUUUGGUCGACUACUCCUUCAUAGUGUAAUAAAUAAAAUGAAUAGCGUGAAGCGAACAUAACCGCUGUACUACUACAACUGGUUUAUUAUAUCGUCCGAACCAUGUGUAUACACUAUGCACUGAGUGCCGUCCCUUGCGAGGCCUCAGUCCCCGUCAGUGCGUUGGCGACGCCACUCGAGAACGGAGCAUGCGCGUGCGCCGCUGUCGUAUGAGCUCGCUGGAUGCGGACCACUUACAAUAGGUCGAUCUGGAAAUCUUUAAGGAAGACGCAUGUUUAGGAAUGGACAUCUUGCGGCUGAUGAUGAUGAUGAAACUUGAUUUAUAAGUGUUGUAAUUAAACGAGUUUUUAACAUA